Molecule: ribosomal RNA, 473 nt
Filed under: uncultured bacterium
Lineage: Bacteria
Description: bacterial SSU rRNA
Rfam family: Bacterial small subunit ribosomal RNA
Source: RNAcentral
UGGGGAAUUGUUCGCAAUGGGCGAAAGCCUGACGACGCAAUGCCGCGUGGAGGAUGAAGAAUUUCGGUUCGUAAACUCCUUUCGACCGAGAUGAAUGUCCGCCGACCUAACACGUCGGCGGAGUGACAGUAUCGAGGGAAGAAGCCCCGGCUAACUCCGUGCCAGCAGCCGCGGUAAUACGUAGGGUGCGAGCGUUAAUCGGAAUUACUGGGCGUAAAGGGUGCGCAGGCGGCCCCGCAUGUCAGGCGUGAAAUCCCCGAGCUCAACUUGGGAAUGGCGCUUGAAACUACGGGGCUGGAGUGUGGCAGAGGGAGGUGGAAUUCCACGUGUAGCGGUGAAAUGCGUAGAGAUGUGGAGGAACACCGAUGGCGAAGGCAGCCUCCUGGGCCAACACUGACGCUCAUGCACGAAAGCGUGGGGAGCAAACAGGAUUAGAUACCCACGUAGUCCCUGAGCGGGCUGGCAAGGCGCAU